UACUUGACAUGGAUUCAGGUAACGUAGCC
This 29-nucleotide non-coding RNA is filed under the name Mus musculus (house mouse). Lineage: Eukaryota; Metazoa; Chordata; Mammalia; Rodentia; Muridae. The record is from RNAcentral.